UACGUAGGGUGCGAGCGUUAAUCGGAUUCAUUGGGCGUAAAGGGUGCGUAGGUGGCGCGCUAAGUCAGGUGUGAAAUUUCGGAGCUUAACUCCGAAACUGCAUUUGAUACUGGCGUGCUUGAGGACUGGAGAGGAGACUGGAAUUCAUGGUGUAGCAGUGAAAUGCGUAGAGAUCAUGAGGAAGACCAGUGGCGAAGGCGGGUCUCUGGACAGUUCCUGACACUGAGGCACGAAGGCCAGGGGAGCAAACGGG
RNAcentral lists this ribosomal RNA (253 nucleotides) under uncultured bacterium. RNAcentral describes it as "partial 16S ribosomal RNA". It matches the Rfam family "Bacterial small subunit ribosomal RNA", at positions 524 to 776 of the family's 1533-position model. The record is from RNAcentral.